RNAcentral lists this ribosomal RNA (450 nucleotides) under uncultured bacterium. Its description in RNAcentral is "partial 16S ribosomal RNA". It matches the Rfam family "Bacterial small subunit ribosomal RNA", at positions 354 to 796 of the family's 1533-position model. The record is from RNAcentral.
GUGGGGAAUAUUGGACAAUGGGCGAAAGCCUGAUCCAGCCAUGCCGCGUGUGUGAAGAAGGUCUUCGGAUUGUAAAGCACUUUAAGUUGGGAGGAAGGGCAGUAAGUUAAUACCUUGCUGUUUUGACGUUACCGACAGAAUAAGCACCGGCUAACUUCGUGCCAGCAGCCGCGGUAAUACGAAGGGUGCAAGCGUUAAUCGGAAUUACUGGGCGUAACGCGCGCGUAGGUGGUUUUGUAAGUUGGAGGUGAAAUCCCCGGGCUCAACCUAGGAACUGCCUCCAAAACUGCAUGACUAGAGUACGGUAGAGGGUAGUGGAAUUUCCUGUGUAGCGGUGAAAUGCGUAGAUAUAGGAAGGAACACCAGUGGCGAAGGCGACUACCUGGACUGAUACUGACACUGAGGUGCGAAAGCGUGGGGAGCAAACAGGAUUAGAUACCCUAGUAGUCC